This 500-nucleotide ribosomal RNA is filed under the name uncultured bacterium. RNAcentral's name for it is "bacterial SSU rRNA". It matches the Rfam family "Bacterial small subunit ribosomal RNA", at positions 29 to 524 of the family's 1533-position model. The record is from RNAcentral.
AUUGAACGCUGGCGGCGUGCCUAACACAUGCAAGUCGAGCGGUAACAGGUGUAGCAAUACAUGCUGACGAGCGGCGGACGGGUGAGUAACGCUUGGGAAUCUGCCUAUUAGUGGGGGACAACCCGGGGAAACUCGGGCUAAUACCGCAUACGCACUACGGUGGAAAGCCGGGGACCGCAAGGCCUGGCGCUAACAGAUGAGCCCAAGUCGGAUUAGCUAGUUGGUAGGGUAACGGCCACCAAGGCGACGAUCCGUAACUGGUCUGAGAGGACGACCAGUCACACCGGAACUGAGACACGGUCCGGACUCCUACGGGAGGCAGCAGUGGGGAAUAUUGGACAAUGGCGAAAGCCUGAUCCAGCGACGCCGCGUGGGUGAAGAAGGCCUGCGGGUUGUAAGCCCUUUCAGUGGGGAAGAAAAGCCUCGAGCUACACCUCGGGGUCUUGACGUAACCCCAUAGAAGAAGCACCGGCUAACUCUGUGCCAGCAGCCGCCGUAAG